UACGUAGGGGGCAAGCGUUGUCCGGAUUUAUUGGGCGUAAAGAGCGUGUAGGCGGUCAGGUAGGUCCGUUGUGAAAACUCGAGGCUCAACCUCGAGACGCCGAUGGAAACCAUCUGACUAGAGUCCGGAAGAGGAGAGUGGAAUUCCUGGUGUAGCGGUGAAAUGCGCAGAUAUCAGGAGGAACACCGGUGGCGAAGGCGGGUCUCUGGGCAGUUACUGACACUGAGGCACGAAGGCCAGGGGAGCAAACGGG
RNAcentral lists this ribosomal RNA (253 nucleotides) under uncultured bacterium. RNAcentral's name for it is "partial 16S ribosomal RNA". It matches the Rfam family "Bacterial small subunit ribosomal RNA", at positions 524 to 776 of the family's 1533-position model. The record is from RNAcentral.